This 465-nucleotide ribosomal RNA is filed under the name uncultured bacterium. RNAcentral describes it as "partial 16S ribosomal RNA". It matches the Rfam family "Bacterial small subunit ribosomal RNA", at positions 28 to 506 of the family's 1533-position model. The record is from RNAcentral.
GACGAACGCUGGCGGCGUGCUUAACACAUGCAAGUCGAACGGAAAGGCCAGUGCUUGCACUGGUACUCGAGUGGCGAACGGGUGAGUAACACGUGGGUGAUCUGCCUUGCACUCUGGGAUAAGCUUGGGAAACUGGGUCUAAUACCGGAUAUGAUCUGCCUUUAGUGUGGUGGUCGGAAAGUUUUUUCGGUGCAAGAUGAGCUCGCGGCCUAUCAGCUUGUUGGUGGGGUAAUGGCCUACCAAGGCGUCGGCGGGUAGCCGGCCUGAGAGAGUGUACGGCCAGAUUGGGACUGAGAUACGGCCCAGACUCCUACGGGAGGCAGGAGGGGGGAGUAUUGAACAAUGGGCGGGAGACUGAUGCAGCGACGACGCGUGGGGGAUGGAGGCAUUCGGGUUGUAAGCUCCUUUCGACAGGGACGGAGCGUAAGUGACGGUACCUGUAUAAGAAGCACCGGCUAACUACGU